Molecule: long non-coding RNA, 301 nt
Filed under: Lathyrus oleraceus (garden pea)
Lineage: Eukaryota; Viridiplantae; Streptophyta; Magnoliopsida; Fabales; Fabaceae
Description: Pisum sativum (pea) long non-coding RNA (PSAT_LNC029799)
Source: RNAcentral
CCCAAUCUUGUGUUUGUUGGAUCUGCCAUGUUAAUUAAUGAAGUCAGAUCCAACGCUUCAUGUUUUUUCUAAUUUUUAUUUUCUUUUUCUUUUUUAUUUUAAAUUGUAUUUUCUUUUAAAAUUCAUAAAAAAAUCAUUUUACAUCUAAAAAAUACCAAAAUAAUUUCUAAAAUUCUAUAUUAUUUUUCUUCAUAUGAGUUUUAUUUUUCAACAUUAAUUUUCUUGACUUUCUAUUUUUCUUGAAUUUUCUCUUUUCUCCUUCAUUUUAAUUAGUUUAAAAAUAUUUUUAUGCAUUUUAAAA